UGGAGGCAGCAGUGGGGAAUAUUGGACAAUGGGCGCAAGCCUGAUCCAGCCAUGCCGCGCGGGUGAAGAAGGCCUUCGGGUUGUAAAGCCCUUUUGUCCGGAAAGAAAAGCACGGGAUUAAUACCCUCGUGUGAUGACGGUACCGGAAGAAUAAGCACCGGCUAACUUCGUGCCAGCAGCCGCGGUAAUACGAAGGGUGCAAGCGUUACUCGGAAUUACUGGGCGUAAAGCGUGCGUAGGUGGUUUGUUAAGUCUGUCGUGAAAUCCCCGGGCUCAACCUGGGAAUGGCGAUGGAUACUGGCAAGCUAGAGUGAGGUAGAGGAGAGUGGAAUUCCCGGUGUAGCAGUGAAAUGCGUAGAGAUCGGGAGGAACAUCAGUUGCGAAGGCGGCUCUCUGGACCAUCACUGACACUGAGGCACGAAAGCGUGGGGAGCAAACAGGAUUAGAUACCCCGGUAGUCCU
RNAcentral lists this ribosomal RNA (462 nucleotides) under uncultured bacterium. RNAcentral's name for it is "bacterial SSU rRNA". It matches the Rfam family "Bacterial small subunit ribosomal RNA", at positions 343 to 797 of the family's 1533-position model. The record is from RNAcentral.